UUUUCCUACGGGGCGCAGCAGUGAGGAAUAUUGGUCAAUGGGAGAGAUCCUGAACCAGCCAAGCCGCGUGAGGGAAGACGGCCCUAUGGGUUGUAAACCUCUUUUGUCGGAGAACAAAACCCGGGACGUGUCCCGGACUACGUGUAUCCGAAGAAAAAGCAUCGGCUAACUUCGUGCCAGCAGCCGCGGUAAUACGGAGGAUGCGAGCGUCAUCCGGAUUUAUUGGGUUUAAAGGGUGCGCAGGCGGAGGUGCAAGUCAGCGGUCAAAUUGCGGGGCUCAACCCCGUACUGCCGUUGACACUGCC
RNAcentral lists this ribosomal RNA (305 nucleotides) under uncultured bacterium. Its description in RNAcentral is "bacterial SSU rRNA". It matches the Rfam family "Bacterial small subunit ribosomal RNA", at positions 334 to 637 of the family's 1533-position model. The record is from RNAcentral.